CACCCUACGGGGCGCAGCAGGGGGGGAUAUUGCACAAUGGGGGGAACCCUGAUGCAGCGACGCCGCGUGGGUGAAGAAGCGCCUCGGCGCGUAAAGCCCUGUCAGCAGGGAAGAAAAUGACGGUACCUGAAGAAGAAGCCCCGGCUAACUACGUGCCAGCAGCCGCGGUAAUACGAAGGGGGCAAGCGUUAUCCGGAUUUACUGGGUGAAAAGGGGGCGCAGACGGCGAGGCAAGCCAGGAGUGAAAGCCCGGGGCCCAACC
This 262-nucleotide ribosomal RNA is filed under the name uncultured bacterium. RNAcentral describes it as "partial 16S ribosomal RNA". It matches the Rfam family "Bacterial small subunit ribosomal RNA", at positions 335 to 614 of the family's 1533-position model. The record is from RNAcentral.